This 256-nucleotide ribosomal RNA is filed under the name uncultured bacterium. RNAcentral describes it as "partial 16S ribosomal RNA". It matches the Rfam family "Bacterial small subunit ribosomal RNA", at positions 521 to 776 of the family's 1533-position model. The record is from RNAcentral.
UAAUACAGAGGGUGCGAGCGUUGUUCGGAAUUACUGGGCGUAAAGCGCGUGUAGGCGGUUCGAUAAGUCAGAUGUGAAAGCCUGGAGCCUAACUCCAGAAGUGCAUUUGAAACUGUCGAGCUAGAGUGAUGUAGAGGAUGGCGGAAUACCCAGUGUAGAGGUGAAAUUCGUAGAGAUUGGGUAGAACACCGGUGGCGAAGGCGGCCAUCUGGGCAUUAACUGACGCUGAGACGCGAAAGCAUGGGGAGCAAACAGG